UUUCUUACACCGAAUGCUUGCAUUCACCGUAAGAAGUUGAGUGGCGGACGGGUGAGUAACACGUGGGUAACCUGCCUAAAAGAGGGGGAUAACACUUGGAAACAGGUGCUAAUACCGUAUAUCUCUAAGGAUCGCAUGAUUCUUAGAUGAAAGAUGGUUCUGCUAUCGCUUUUAGAUGGACCCGCGGCGUAUUAACUAGUUGGUGGGGUAACGGCCUACCAAGGUGAUGAUACGUAGCCGAACUGAGAGGUUGAUCGGCCACAUUGGGACUGAGACACGGCCCAAACUCCUACGGGAGGCAGCAGUAGGGAAUCUUCCACAAUGGACGCAAGUCUGAUGGAGCAACGCCGCGUGAGUGAAGAAGGUCUUCGGAUCGUAAAACUCUGUUGUUAGAGAAGAACACGAGUGAGAGUAACUGUUCAUUCGAUGACGGUAUCUAACCAGCAAGUCACGGCUAACUACGUGCCAGCAGCCGCGGUAAUACGUAGGUGGCAAGCGUUGUCCGGAUUUAUUGGGCGUAAAGGGAACGCAGGCGGUCUUUUAAGUCUGAUGUGAAAGCCUUCGGCUUAACCGGAGUAGUGCAUUGGAAACUGGAAGACUUGAGUGCAGAAGAGGAGAGUGGAACUCCAUGUGUAGCGGUGAAAUGCGUAGAUAUAUGGAAGAACACCAGUGGCGAAAGCGGC
Molecule: ribosomal RNA, 683 nt
Filed under: uncultured Bacilli bacterium
Lineage: Bacteria; Bacillati; Bacillota; Bacilli
Description: bacterial SSU rRNA
Rfam family: Bacterial small subunit ribosomal RNA
Source: RNAcentral